GCCGGGCGCGGUGGUGCGUGCCUGUGGUCCCAGCUACUUGGGAGGCUGAGGCUGGAGGAUCGCUUGAGCCCAGGAGUUCUGGGCUGUAGUGACCUAUGCCAAUCGGGUGUCCGCACUAAGUUCGGCAUCAAUAUGGUGACCUCCCGGGAGCGGGGGGCCACCGGGUUGCCUAAGGAGGGGUGAACCGGCCCAGGUCGGAGACAGAGCAGGUCAAUAACUCUUCCCAGACUUAUUUUAUCAGAAGACCGAUAAGUCUUCUCAUAGAACAUUUAAAAAUAAUAUUUAACCAGAAUUUU
This 296-nucleotide signal recognition particle RNA is filed under the name Myotis davidii. Its description in RNAcentral is "Metazoan signal recognition particle RNA". It matches the Rfam family "Metazoan signal recognition particle RNA". From Rfam's summary of the family: The signal recognition particle (SRP) is a universally conserved ribonucleoprotein. It is involved in the co-translational targeting of proteins to membranes. The record is from Rfam by way of RNAcentral. Lineage: Eukaryota; Metazoa; Chordata; Mammalia; Chiroptera; Vespertilionidae.